This 468-nucleotide ribosomal RNA is filed under the name uncultured bacterium. RNAcentral describes it as "partial 16S ribosomal RNA". It matches the Rfam family "Bacterial small subunit ribosomal RNA", at positions 28 to 507 of the family's 1533-position model. The record is from RNAcentral.
GACGAACGCUGGCGGCGUGCUUAACACAUGCAAGUCGAACGGAAAGGCCCUGCUUUUGUGGGGUGCUCGAGUGGCGAGCGGGUGAGUAACACGUGAGUCACCUGCCCUUGACUUUGGAAUAACUUCAGGAAACUGCGGCUAAUACCGGAUAGGAGCUCCUGCUGCAUGGGGGGGGUUGGAAAGCAUCGGCGGUUGGGGAUGGACUCCCGGCUUAUUAGCUUGUUGGUGGGGUAGUGGCUUACCAAGGCUUUGACGGGUAGCCGGCCUGGGAGGGUGACCGGCCACAUGGGGACUGAGAGACGGCCCAGACUCCUACGGGAGGCAGCAGUGGGGAAUAUUGCACAAUGGGCGGAAGCCUGAUGCAGCAACGCCGCGUGCGGGAUGACGGCCUUCGGGUUGUAAACCGCUUUCGCCUGUGACGAAGCGUGAGUGACGGUAAUGGGUAAAGAAGCACCGGCUAACUACGUG